ACGUCCGGGUGCAUUCCACAUUUCCACUCACCGGCGGGACACACAGAGUUCCGCCCGUGGAACCACUUACAAGGCCUAUAUAAAUGGUUCAAUAGUCGCUGGCCAUCGACACAAAGUAGGCGAGCUAGGGUUUCUCGAGGAUCGAAAUCCCAGCGAGAGGCAGCGCGAUCCGAUUAUUGGUUUUGAGAUCCAGAAGAUAAAUUGGAGGAGGAGAAGAGAAAGUGGAAGGAAGAACUAAAUCGGUCCACUUCUCUCACAAAGGCAGGAUUCAAAUGAAAAAGUAUGCAGAAUAGGUACCUAAAAGCUUGUGUUCUUUCUGUGGAAGGUGAAAUUUCUAGGGUUAAACUAUUUAUGGAUAGACCCCAGAUCUUAUUGCAGGCACCAUGCAAAACAACUGCAACCUUGAGGCUCGGAGUUCGAUCCCCACUCGCCUUCAUCCUAAAGGUUUGAGGUUACUGCCUGGAAAUUAGAUAUAGAGGAUGAUUGGCCCAAAAUCAUAUGCUCUUGAAGAAGACAAGUGGAUAAAUCUUCUCAAGCCAAGGAAGUGCUAUGAGAAAACAUCAGAAGCAUAGCGCCGAAAUGUUACGUGGUGCAAGGAGCAUAAUGAGUUUCAGUAUGCCGAACCGACCACGGUACCACAUGUGCUGACAUUGUAUCAGGAUGGUAUGGGUAUGGGGUUUAGUACCAAAAUGGCGAACCUUGAGCAGAACAAUAUUAAUCACCUUAAAGACAAUGGAUAAAUCCUCUAAAGCUAAGAAAGUGCUAUAAGAAAACAUGAGAAGCAUGGUGUCAAACUAUUAUGUGGUGCCAGGAGCAUAACGAGUUUCAGUAUGCCAGACCGAUCACAGUACCGCAUGUAUUGACACCGUACCAGGAUGGUAUGGCUAUGGGGUUUGGUACCAUGAUGGUAAAUCUUGAGCAGAACAAUCUUGAUCACCUUAUAAUUCAUUUUUGUAGAGAGAGUCAAAACCAUCAGAAAGGAUAUCUAUGUAAAGUUUCUUGGUGAUGUCACUGUAUAUUUCACUCGUUUUUAUUUAGUUUUGUAAGUGCUGUUUGGAUUUUGAGGGUGUUCAAAGUUGCUAUAUCUUGCAGGAGAUUUCUAGUCAGACAUUUCAAGAAUAACUUUAAUAUGUUUCCAUUAUUAAGUUGUUCACUGAGAGAGAUGCGCCCCUAA
Molecule: long non-coding RNA, 1174 nt
Organism: Phoenix dactylifera (date palm)
Lineage: Eukaryota; Viridiplantae; Streptophyta; Magnoliopsida; Arecales; Arecaceae
Source: RefSeq, a predicted model, not a curated record